GUUAAAAAGCUCGUAGUUGGAUUCCUGUAUGGAAGGGGCGUCCCCACCCUUUGGAUGGGGGUUGCUACCUUCUUUGCAUCUUCUUGAGUAGAUGUUCCUCACUUAACUGUGAGGACAUCGUGCUCGGGACAUUUACUUUGAGGAAAAGAGAGUGCUCCAAGCAGGCAAACGCCUGAAUACGUUAGCAUGGAAUAAUAGCAUCGGAUCAUCGUACAGCUGUUGGUGUCUGGACGAGGAUAAAGGUGAACAGGGAUUGUUGGGGGCAUUCGUAUUUAACUGUCAGAGGUGAAAUUCUUGGAUUUGUUGAAGACGAGCUACUGCGAAAGCAUUUGCCAAAGAUGUUCUCAUUGAUCGAGAACGAAAGUUAGGUGAUCGAAGACGAUCAGAUACCGUCCUAGUCUUAACCAUAAACUAUGCCAACUGGAGAUGGGACGUGUUUAUUUUACGACUCUUCCUGCAUCUUGAGAGAAAUCAAAGUCUUUGGGUUCCGGGGGGAGUAUGGUCGCAAGGCUGAAACUUAAAGGAAUUGACGGAAGGGCACCACCAGGAGUGGAGCCCUGCGACUUAAUUUGACUCAACACGGGGAAAACUUACCAGGUCCGGACAUAGGUAGGAUUGACAGACUGAGAGCUCUUUCUAGAUUCUAUGGGUGGUGGUGCAUGGCCGUUCUUAGUUGGUGGAGUGAUUUGUCUGGUUAAUUCCCGUUAACG
This 710-nucleotide ribosomal RNA is filed under the name uncultured marine alveolate. RNAcentral describes it as "SSU rRNA". It matches the Rfam family "Eukaryotic small subunit ribosomal RNA", at positions 618 to 1333 of the family's 1831-position model. The record is from RNAcentral.